GGAAAAUGAAAAUUGGAGUUUUCUUAGAAAUGGAAAAUGAAAAAUACGGAACUGUUUUCCGCAAGUGAACAGGCCCACAGUGUCUGUAGAAAAUUUUUUUGAGGAAAGCAUUUUGAAAAAAUAAUUUGUUUUCUGCUAUGUUAUAGCAAUGUUGAAAAUAAGUUGGAAAAAUUAUAUUCUACUGUUUGGAGUAACUGGGAAAUUCUUAAUUUUCUCUUAGUAUAUAAGACUGAAAAUGUUUGGACUUGCAAGUUAUAUGUAGUUGAAUAUGAGAGGAAGUUACACUAAAGAGCAUGUAAAAUGUGAUUGGGCAUCUGUGGCAGCUGCUGGUGGUUGGUGAUGAUUGCUGGUGCUUGAUGGACUAAUGGAUAUGUGACUGUAAAUUCCUUUGUAGGUUCCUUCCCUUUUUAUUAGGUGAUCAGAGUCCCGAAAAUGACUUCCCAAUUUUAAAGGAAAAAGUGUUUUUUUUUUU
This 472-nucleotide unclassified non-coding RNA is filed under the name Hevea brasiliensis (rubber tree). The record is from RNAcentral. Lineage: Eukaryota; Viridiplantae; Streptophyta; Magnoliopsida; Malpighiales; Euphorbiaceae.